AGGCGUAAAAACGCAUUAUUACGGCAUUCAAUGCAAUUAUAAUGAUGCGUUUUUUCCAAUGUAAAAAAAAAAAAAAGCGUACAGAAAGAAGUGUCCAAAAUGACCAAAAUAUUAGGCACACCCAAGUUCUCGCGUUGAUAGGAGAGAGCGUUUACGCAUGCGCGGACAUUUUUCGGCACUUCUUUUAAAAUGUGACAUUUUGACACUCUGGGUGUUCCAUUCGUCGCGUGUUAACGAUAAUUUGUCCCUCCGGUUCGUUCAUCGUUCAACGUCGAUCAUUUAGUUUUGUUUAAUUGCGACCAGGUAGUUAAACGCUGACCGGAAACGAGCCAUUGUUUGGCUUGGCGUUUUUUUUUUUUGUUUGUUUGCUAAUGUUACGUGUGUUUCGAGCACCUGAACUAAGUUAGGUUAGCUACGUUAGUGCGAAUUAAGGCAUUUUUUUGUAUUGUUUACAUGCGCAGUAGACGACCACAAUGAAGGGAAGUUGUCAACACCUGCUUCCACGUGCAAAGGACGGAGGAGGUUUUGGACAGGCUCAGUUCAGGACAUGGAUGCAUCUGCACUACAAUGACGCAAACCUGGUUUUGGGCAGGUGUGUGCACUUUUUUUUCCCAACACAGAGGACGCCAUGCUGUUUGAAGCCAUUUUUUUAGUGGGUCAUUCCAUGUUAGGUCACGCCAUAAUUCAUAAAAAAAUUAACCAAGUGGAUUUUGAUUUGAAUGAAACUUGCCGUACUUGUUGAAGGUGUUGGCACAACACUAAAACUAAGUAUCAGAGACAUAAUUUAUUUUGUACAGCAGCAAUAAGGAGUCAUAGUACACACCCCUAUAAUAAUCCUUGCAAUUUGCAUAUUCAAUGAGGUCAUUGAAUAUUCAUUGCAAAUCUGACAAUAUGGAUACGAUGAGCCCUUACUGCUGCUAAACAACAUUGACAAAACUGAAACCUUUGAGAGAACAUGUGAGAGAUUACAUUCCAUGAAAAAAAAUAUGGUCACGUAAUCCUCAAGGUCACCCAAGGUCCAUCUCCAGGUUAAGUUCUAGGUCAAAAGUUGCUUAAAUAUAAAUCAAUCUUCCAAAUGAUUACAGAUAUUGAUUUCUUGUUAAAUUCCCUUCCCAAAUAAAUACCUGUUUUGUGAAGAUGGGAUGGGUUGAUGCCUGAACUCAGGAAGGAAGGCGGCCACGCCCCCUUUUCCGGAGCUCAUAAAAAUUCGGGGAUGCCGUAGCUCCCAAACCCUUGCUCCGAUUGACCGCUAAUUUGAGAUUUAGUGUUGUGCCAUCACUGUCAACAAGUACAGCAAGUUUCAUUCAAAUCAAAAUCCAUUUGGCUGAACCCGCUUGUGAUUUGCCAUGGAAUGACCCAAGUGAGCUUUCUGACCUCGACUUGAUCUGCGACACAGUGCACACAAGGAGAACAAAGCUCAAUGCUUCUGAACAUGUGCUAUUUUUAAAAUUACAUUGUUGUGGCCCAGAUUAUUUAAAACUAAAUAUUUAUAUUUUUGUUUAAUAAAUUGGCAAAAAUAACUGAUUUAAAAAAAAAAAAAAAACAUCGAAACACAUGUUCAUAAGCAGUGAGUGAUGUUGUUACCAGCUUCCACAUGUGUCAGUGUUGUGCAGUCCAUGCUUGUCAAGCAGACAACAUGGCAUCCUCUGCUGCUGGCUGAAAUGUACUGCCUGUCAGCCAGUGUCGGUGUAGAACUUGAGUCAAGCUUUAUUGCUAAAAUGAUGUGAAAUUGUUUU
Molecule: long non-coding RNA, 1736 nt
Organism: Hippocampus comes (tiger tail seahorse)
Lineage: Eukaryota; Metazoa; Chordata; Actinopteri; Syngnathiformes; Syngnathidae
Exons: 2
Source: RefSeq, a predicted model, not a curated record